AUUGAACGCUGGCGGCAUGCCUUACACAUGCAAGUCGAACGGCAGCACGGGUGCUUGCCCCUGGUGGCGAGUGGCGAACGGGUGAGUAAUACAUCGGAACAUGUCCUGUCGUGGGGGAUAGCCCGGCGAAAGCCGGAUUAAUACCGCAUACGAUCUACGGAUGAAAGCGGGGGACCUUCGGGUCUCGCGCUUUAGGGUUGGCCGAUGGCUGAUUAGCUAGUUGGUGGGGUAAAGGCCUACCAAGGCGACGAUCAGUAGCUGGUCUGAGAGGACGACCAGCCACACUGGGACUGAGACACGGCCCAGACUCCUACGGGAGGCAGCAGUGGGGAAUUUUGGACAAUGGGCGAAAGCCUGAUCCAGCAAUGCCGCGUGUGUGAAGAAGGCCUUCGGGUUGUAAAGCACUUUUGUCCGGAAAGAAAUCCUUGGCCCUAAUACGGUCGGGGGAUGACGGUACCGGAAGAAUAAGCACCGGCUAACUACGUG
RNAcentral lists this ribosomal RNA (486 nucleotides) under uncultured bacterium. Its description in RNAcentral is "partial 16S ribosomal RNA". It matches the Rfam family "Bacterial small subunit ribosomal RNA", at positions 30 to 507 of the family's 1533-position model. The record is from RNAcentral.